RNAcentral lists this ribosomal RNA (404 nucleotides) under uncultured bacterium. Its description in RNAcentral is "bacterial SSU rRNA". It matches the Rfam family "Bacterial small subunit ribosomal RNA", at positions 355 to 776 of the family's 1533-position model. The record is from RNAcentral.
UGGGGAAUAUUGCACAAUGGAGGAAACUCUGAUGCAGCGACGCCGCGUGAGGGAAGAAGGUCUUCGGAUUGUAAACCUCUGUCUUUGGGGACGAUAAUGACGGUACCCGAGGAGGAAGCCACGGCUAACUACGUGCCAGCAGCCGCGGUAAAACGUAGGUGGCAAGCGUUGUCCGGAAUUACUGGGUGUAAAGGGAGCGCAGGCGGAGCGGCAAGUUGGAAGUGAAAUACAUGGGCUCAACCCAUGAACUGCUUUCAAAACUGUCGGUCUUGAGUGGUGCAGAGGUAGGCGGAAUUCCCGGUGUAGCGGUGGAAUGCGUAGAUAUCGGGAGGAACACCAGUGGCGAAGGCGGCCUGCUGGGCACUAACUGACGCUGAGGCUCGAAAGUAUGGGGAGCAAACAGG